UAGGGAAUCUUCGGCAAUGGACGAAAGUCUGACCGAGCAACGCCGCGUGAGUGAAGAAGGUUUUCGGAUCGUAAAACUCUGUUGUUAGAGAAGAACAAGGACGUUAGUAACUGAACGUCCCCUGACGGUAUCUAACCAGAAAGCCACGGCUAACUACGUGCCAGCAGCCGCGGUAUACGUAGGUGGCAAGCGUUGUCCGGAUUUAUUGGGCGUAAAGCGAGCGCAGGCGGUUUCUUAAGUCUGAUGUGAAAGCCCCCGGCUCAACCGGGGAGGGUCAUUGGAAACUGGGAGACUUGAGUGCAGAAGAGGAGAGUGGAAUUCCAUGUGUAGCGGUGAAAUGCGUAGAUAUAUGGAGGAACACCAGUGGCGAAGGCGGCUCUCUGGUCUGUAACUGACGCUGAGGCUCGAAAGCGUGGGGAGCAAACAGG
This 428-nucleotide ribosomal RNA is filed under the name Gemmatimonadota bacterium. RNAcentral's name for it is "Gemmatimonadetes bacterium partial 16S ribosomal RNA". It matches the Rfam family "Bacterial small subunit ribosomal RNA", at positions 355 to 776 of the family's 1533-position model. The record is from RNAcentral. Lineage: Bacteria; Pseudomonadati; Gemmatimonadota.